UAACGGUGUGUGCCGAGAAGUGGAAACUACGGGAAGUGCUGUUAGUCUUCCUCUGAUCCCAGUACUUAGCUCCGAGUGUCAGAGUGGAGGUGGGAGAACACUGAAGUCAUCGUCCUCACUCUGACGCUCACCGGCUGUGGGACCUCGAACUCUAGGUCUGUUCCCAGACAAUUCAAGAGGAUGGAAACCGCCUAUUGCUGCCCCCGCCCCUCCCCAGCUACUCUGAUGGCUUUGCUGGGCACCGGAUAUUGGCUCCUCUGGGGGCAUUUCUGUUUUAUGGGGCCUAGAGGUUUCUGCUUCUCUCCUGACCAACAUCGUUCAUUGGAUCUGAGUGAGAAUGCCGGAGGAGGCUGCAUUCCCCAAUCUUGGGUGUCCUUGGAUGUGACCUAGGAGUCUCCGGUCCACUAGUCUUCCUCCCUCCACCAUUACCUUUACAGAUUUGGGUCCCAGACGCUCUAGGUGACGUGGCAGGCAGCUGCUGAGCCAUGUGUCAGAGUAUUUGACACUUGGAGCUCUGGUAUUUUCAUGCAGAGUAGCCAAGGAAGGGAAGUAGGGGACUGCAGUGUGGAGGGUUGCCCCUCCCCGACACCCUCACCCUCCCGGCCUGGCAAUCUUUCUACACCCAGGUUUCCCCUUGUCUGUUCAACUCGAGAAUAAUUCCUAACCUCACUGAUUUCAUAAUGGAUGUACUGGAUGAGAAAUCACCUCGCAAUAGCCAGAUGCUGGUGGGUGAGAAUGACAGGAGUGGAGGGUGCUGGCUGCUAACCCCCAGCCUGCCCCCCAGGCAGUUUUAAUCCCUCUUCCCAGCUGAGGUCUGGAGCCCCAUCCUUCUCAUCUCACCCCAUGGGUGCCAACAGAGGUAUGUGUGCCUAAGCCUGCAUUCAUAUAGCUCUAGUCUCUCUCCACCUCCCCUCCCCCCAGGUCCAAAGUAGGGUGUUAACCAGGAACAGAACAUAAAAUUAACCCAAAACAAGAACUGAAACCAACCUCAUCUCUCACAGCCUCUCGAAAAGGCAAAGAGCAAAUGAGCAGCUUCUAUGAGGGGAACAUCUUAGAGGUUACCCCAGGGCUCUGCCCCUGAGGACAAGGGCAGAGUGGGGGGGGGGCCUGAAUCUGGAAAUGCAUGGCACAGGGGAGAGGCUCACAGGAACU
Long non-coding RNA from Manis javanica (Malayan pangolin), 1152 nucleotides. RefSeq lists it as uncharacterized. NCBI's taxonomy places the organism in Eukaryota, Metazoa, Chordata, Mammalia, Pholidota, Manidae. The record is from RefSeq and is a predicted model, not a curated record.